CCAAUAGCGUAUAUUAAAGUUGUUGCAGUUAAAAAGCUCGUAGUUGAAUUUCGGGAUCGGUGGGUCGGUCGUGCCUCCGGUACGCACUGUCUUUACCGGUUCCUCCCUUCUGAAGAACCGCGAUGUCAUUAAUUUGGUGUUGCGGGGAAUCAGGACUGUUACUGUGAAAAAAUUAGAGUGUUUAAAGCAGGCUAAAGCUUGAAUACAUUAGCAUGGAAUAAUGAAAUAGGACGUUUGAUCUUAUUUUGUUGGUUUCUAAGAUCGACGUAAUGAUUAAUAGGGAUAGUUGGGGGCAUUAGUAUUCAAUUGUCAGAGGUGAAAUUCUUGGAUUUAUUGAAGACUAACUACUGCGAAAGCAUUUGCCAAGGAUGUUUUCAUUAAUCAAGAACGAAAGUUAGGGGAUCGGAGAAGAUCAGAUACCGUCGUAAUCUUAACCAUAAACUAUGCCGACUAGGGAUUGGAGGAUGUUUAUUUUUAAGGACUCAUUCGCAGCCUAACG
RNAcentral lists this ribosomal RNA (499 nucleotides) under uncultured Glomeromycotina. RNAcentral describes it as "partial small subunit ribosomal RNA". It matches the Rfam family "Eukaryotic small subunit ribosomal RNA", at positions 591 to 1092 of the family's 1831-position model. Lineage: Eukaryota; Fungi; Glomeromycota. The record is from RNAcentral.